CUCUCAUUAAGACAAUAGAUCAAAAGUCAUUUUGUCCAGUACAUCCUAGAACACCAUGGAAAAUGCCUCCAUGGAUGAUGAGUCAUCUGUCCCAAAAAUGAGUGCGUUGAUGACACUGAGGAGUGUGACCAUGUAAGGGACAUUAUCUGUGGCCUGCAGCUCGUUCAUGAUCACACUAAAGCGAUACUGCUGUGUCUUCACGCCCUGAAGGAGAAAUCAAAUGGUCCAGGGCAUCCAGAGCCAGGCGAUGGCCAUCUGAAGAAAACAUGCUGAGGGCUGCAAGUAGCUCAAACACCUGCUUCUUCACCAUGGUGUUGGAAGUGUCCAAGGCUGUGGAGCAUCAUGAUCACACACAUCAAUACAGCUGGCUGUGAUGCUGAAUGCAGCCAGUGGUUGGGGCCUCCUCCCACACUCCCCAUCCCAUCAGCUGGACAAGACCUCAGGCUGGCAGCCGCUGCUUAAGGAAAUUCUUCAUGUCAAUUAGUGACUCACAAGAUUCCAGUCACAGUUUCAGAUUAUAGUUCUGAGUUAAUGUGGCUUUAUCUAUAGCUGAAGACCCAAUGCCUAUAACCCUAAAGCAUUUGUAUGGGUCUGACUGCCCUGCAGAGGAUUGUGGGACAUUGGAACAUACUCCAACAAUUUUAUUUUUUUUUAUUAUCAUGUAUUCAUGUUAUCUUUUAUCUCUUAGGAGGGGCAUGGGUCUACACUGUCAUUCCUUCCAUAUCUACUAAAUUCAAAUUUGCCCUUUGAAUGAUUUAGAUCACAACCCAGCAUCCAGAAAUAACCCGCAGACACCUAGAUGUAAUCUUUCCUCUAUGAUUUGUUUACAUCGCUCCAGGGGUAAUGAAUUUAAAAUCGUACACAAAGCACAUUUGACGCACUACAUUACUGAUUAAAAAAAUGGGGGAUAAAGAGGCAUGAGACAACUUGUAGUCUGUACCAACAGAACAUGAAGAUAAUUCAGUCAUUUUUUCAAUGAUCUUGGAAUUUACGGUCAAAAUGUCCCUAAAUUAACAAAAUUUUCCAGGAAAUAAAAACACUUAAAGAAUACAAAGUUAAUGGAAUUCAUAACUGUCUUGAGUGUGUUUGCAUUUUUCCUUAAGGACAGCGAAAAUAAGCAAGUUGGGAUGAAGCAACAGUGAACCUUUUGGUUAUUGUGGCUUUUAAUUAUAUAACGUUUCUGAGCUUGUCUUAACAUGUUGUAUGUUUGGUACAUGCGUUGUUCUGCAAAAUACAAAGGGAUUGUUAAAAUACUUUUUCAUUUAGUAUUUGAAUCAGAACCAAUCAUAGUGACGGAGGCUUUUGUUUGGAUCUUGACUGGAUUUUGUUGAAAAAUUGUGGUACUGUAUAUCAUUCCCCCUGUGACUUAGGGCUA
Molecule: long non-coding RNA, 1375 nt
Organism: Thunnus maccoyii (southern bluefin tuna)
Lineage: Eukaryota; Metazoa; Chordata; Actinopteri; Scombriformes; Scombridae
Exons: 4
Source: RefSeq, a predicted model, not a curated record